AUUGAAAUCCCAUACUUUCGAUGUAGGACACAAAUUUUUCUUGCAAUGGAUCAUAACAAAAAAGAAUGAUGUUCAAUCAAAUGCCCACUAUUUAAGGGCAGUGUAGAAAAACGCCUGUAUGAAUUCGUCGUCAAGUUUAGUAUUUGUUCUUUCAUUUACUUAAAGAAUGGUGGGAAAGAAUAAUUAAAGAAAAAAGAAGCAUAUUGAAUUAAAGGAUAGAAAAAAAAACUAAAA
This 234-nucleotide unclassified non-coding RNA is filed under the name Hevea brasiliensis (rubber tree). The record is from RNAcentral. Lineage: Eukaryota; Viridiplantae; Streptophyta; Magnoliopsida; Malpighiales; Euphorbiaceae.